This 227-nucleotide ribosomal RNA is filed under the name uncultured bacterium. RNAcentral describes it as "partial 16S ribosomal RNA". It matches the Rfam family "Bacterial small subunit ribosomal RNA", at positions 107 to 334 of the family's 1533-position model. The record is from RNAcentral.
UGAGUAACACGUAUCCAACCUGCCGUCUACUCUUGGACAGCCUUCUGAAAGGAAGAUUAAUACAAGAUGGCAUCAUGAGUUCACAUGUUCACAUGAUUAAAGGUAUGCCGGUAGACGAUGGGGAUGCGUUCCAUUAGAUAGUAGGCGGGGUAACGGCCCACCUAGUCUUCGAUGGAUAGGGGUUCUGAGAGGAAGGUCCCCCACAUUGGAACUGAGACACGGUCCAA